CAAAAAUAUCACCCUGAAGCUCCACAGCCAGCAGACCAUUCCUGCUGCUCCCGGCCCCGGGAUGGGCACUCUGCCUCCUGCCCAGGGAGAGGUUUGAGGGGAAAAAUGACAAGAAAGGGAAAUAGGAGCAGCAGGGAGCCAGCACUGAGGGACUCGGUACCUGGGAGGAAGGAGCACAGUCCCUGCAGGUUUCCUGGGUGUGGAUCAGUUCUGAGGACAGGGAUUGCUGCAUGGAAAACACCUCAACUCCAGCUGGGCCCAAAUCCUGCUGACAGGAAGGAAAGCCACCAAAUUUCUGCAGAAUCCCACUCUCCCAGGGUUGUUCUCCCAGGAUCUCCAGGCCCUGCUGGCAGCCAGAGCAUCAGCCCAUGUUGUGCCUGUUGCCGUAGCCCCGGGGGUGUGUGUCCUUCCAGUCGUCCCAGUCCCGAGCUUUCCGAAGAGCUUCCUCAUCAUCCUCCUCCUCCUCUGUCUCCUGCUGCUGCUUCUGCAUCUCCUCAUCACUUGUACCUGCUGGAGGAGAGGGACACGAGGAGAUGCAGCUUCUCCAAAGCCCUGCUGGGAGCUGGGCUUGCCAGACAGCAGGAGGGAGAACCUUGGAAUGGGCUGGGUUGGAAGGGAUCUUAGAGCCCAUCCAGUGCCACCAGGAACACCUUCCAUGAUCCAGGUUAUUCCAAGCCCUGUCCAACCUGGCCUUGGACAGGCCAAGCACAGUCUACCCCAGUUGUUUUCCUAAUAAAGCUUGGAUUCUUCCACAGUCAGAGGUUCCAUACCCUGCACACAUCCUGGUUCACCCAUCCCAAGAGGCUUCCCAAACCCCCUGCUCCCACCUCUGUUCCAUACCUGGAACCCUCUGUGGGGUGGACACAAUUCCCUGCUUCCGGCGCUGCUCGUACCAGUCAUCCACAGUCAUGGUGGGCAGCCCGGGAUAGCCGGCUCCAAACACCCUGCAGAGGGACAAAACCAGGCAAUGAAAUCCCCUGGAAUGAGCAGGAACACAGGCAAGAGGCACAGGGCUGUUCCAUGAUCCAGUCUGUGCUAAGGAUGUCACAAGGCAGGCUUGAGGGGUGACCCAACUGUGGCCUUCCUGUGCCUGAGGGAAAGAUGGACAGGGCCUGGAGUGGCAGGACAAGGGAAUGGCUUCCCACUGCCACGGGGCAGGGUUAGAUGGGAUACUGGGAAGGAAUUCCCCCCUGGGAGGGUGGGGAGGCCCUGGCACAGUGUGCCCAGAGAAGCUGUGGCUGCCCCAGGAUCCCUGGAAGUGUCCAAGGCCAGGCUGGACAGGGCUUGGAGCACCCUGGGACACGGAAAGUUGGCCCCAGGACAUCACUGGGAAGUGAAGCAGACACAUGGAAAGCUCAGCACAAAUCAUGUGCCAAGCAUGACAGGAAUUUUGGUUUCUCUCCCAUUCUGUGCUUUAGAUGCUGAAAUUCCUGCAUUCUGCCACAAACUCAAGUGCAGACAUGAAGGUACCACCUGGAUUUCUGCACUUGAUGGAAUAUUUCAGGCUUGACAUGACAGCACUGCCCCAAAGUGUGUUUGCAUCAUCCCAAUCCAUACCUGGCCUGAGCAGCAUCCCGGGUGAGGAUGAAGGGUUUCACUGGAGUUCUGGCUGACCGGGAAGGGCCACGGGGACCUGCUGGAGCCUGGGGAUGCAAACAACAGUCACCAGGGAAUGGAGGGGAUCAGAAUCCCCCCUCUGCUCCCCAUCCUGAAGUUAUUAAAGGUCUUGUAGAGGAGAAACACCUCAGCUGUCAGAGCAAUGCUCCAGCAUGGAAAAUCCAGGCCUGAAUUUGGUUUAAAUCGGGAAUCCCAACUGUGCCUGCACAGGAAUCACCUCCUGUGCCUGUGUGCCACCUGCUGGGGUCAAAGCAGAGCUGCCAGGGCUGAGCUCUGACCACAGCAGGAAAUGUUAUUUAUUCUUCCAGUGGAACAUUCUGAGCCCAUCAUUCCACGGACACCUCGGAGGAGCUGAGUCCUGCAGUGCCAAAACAUGACCCCCUAAACCAGCCCUGCCAAAACAUGACCCCCUAAACCAGCACAUCAGGAUUUCUGUUCCCAGGUCACAGAAAUCCUGGACACGUUUCUGCACAGGCAUUGCAGGUCUGUGGCAGUGUUCUGUCAUUCCAAAUGGGAAUAACACCUGGAGAAGCUGCAGACCAGGAAUGGAAGCUUGACAGAAACCACAAGGGUCUUAUUUUAAUUUCCAAACUCAACUGCUCUUCAGAAUUAAGGAUCUGCAGAAAAGCCUUUGCACAGCCUAGCUCAGCUCUGAUAUUCCAGGCUGCAGCAUUCCACAGGCUGGGAUUGUGGCAGAGGUGUGGCAGCAGAGCCCAACCCAAACCCCAGGAUUCAGAAUGAAGGAAAGCCCAUCAGCUCAUGCUGUGAUCGAGCACAAUUCCAAUGGGAAGUCACUGAAUAAAACUCUGGAUUCCUCUGGGAUUCAUCCCCUCGUGCCCAGGAGAGCUCCCUCACCGGCCUGGCUGCAUCCCUGCUCUUCAGGAUCAGCAGCUCCUGCUCGAUGCUCUCCAUCUCCUCCAGGCUGGUGGCGAUCCAUUUCUGGAUCUGCAGGAUGUAGAAUUCCCGGACCUGAUCCUCAUCCGCUGUCCCGCUCUCCACGGAGCUGCUCAUGGAGGCCAGCUUGUUCUCCAGCUCCUUCUUCUGUUUGUACCUGGCUCAAGCACAGCAAAAUCACAUCAUGGAAUCAUUUUUCUGCAGCACAGCCCAGCCCUGGGGUCUUCACCACCCUUUCUAAGAGGAUCAACCAAAUUCCAUGGAAGUUGUGCUGGCUCCUGCUGGAAUUUCAGCCCCUCCUGUCAGUUAAAAGCAGCUGUAAAGUUACAUUUAAUUCAGAGGGGCCUCAAUGAUUUUAUUCUCCUCCUAAACAUUGAGGAAUCCUUGGAAAUUGAAGUUUUCCUGGUAAAACUGGGCAAGACUGGGAACAUCAGUCUCCUGGAGAAAGCAGGACUGAGAAAAUCAAUGGAAUGCCUGGUUAGGGUUGAUUCCAUGUCACACAAACAGAAUAAAACACUUUUCCAA
Passer domesticus (house sparrow) is the source of this 3036-nucleotide long non-coding RNA. RefSeq lists it as uncharacterized. The record is from RefSeq and is a predicted model, not a curated record. NCBI's taxonomy places the organism in Eukaryota, Metazoa, Chordata, Aves, Passeriformes, Passeridae. The transcript is spliced from 3 exons.